GCACUUGAGCGUUUUCUUAGAGUGGUUUGAGGGUUUCAGUGCUUUGUUGAAGGUCCAGUAUUUGUAGCCACACCUGUCUAAGGCACUUCGAAGGUGUUUGAGUUCGUCUGUUUUGGCUUUGUCAGAGGAAAUAAUGUUGUCAGCCCGGUGGUAAAGGGUUUUUAUCACUGCCAGUUUGUGUUCCAAUGGGUGAUGAGAGUCAAAGGCCAGAUAUUGGUCAGUGUGCGUCGGUUUCCUGUACACCUCGAACUGAAGGCUGCCGUCCUUCUCUAUGAUAGUUUUUGUGUCUGGAAAGGGGAGCAUGUUGUCAUGACUUGGCUCUUGUGUGAACUUGUAGUUCAUCAAGGUUAGUUUUUCUGUCAUUGAGACCAUCCAAUUUGUAGUUAACCUGACUCACCCUUUUGUUUAUUAGCUUCCUUUCCGAGUUGCGAAUGAUAUUGUUGGCCUUGAAUCCUUUGAUGGAGGUUUUUAGACGUAAACUGACAGGAGUUACACGUACCUUGGGGCUGCGCGAGUUGUGACGAAGAUGGUUCCUGUAGUCUGCAAUUUUCCUGCUGGUCUUCUCCAGAUCCCUCACUGAUUUCAGGCAAAACUUACCGUACUGAUCCAAGAGACGCCGAUGUAGGUUAGACAUCCAGGUAAUAAGAUACGCCAAAAAGUAGUUACUCAAGCAACUGGAUAUGGUUUUGGAAACAGUCAGACGUUUCGGAUAGUACCCACUAUCCUUCCGACGUAAAAUUGUUUUUCAUCAAAAAAUCAUUGAAUCGAUUCUUCUCGUCUUAGAAAUGUCAGCCACCGACCGCGGACUUGAAGACUACGAAGUCGACAACGACAUACCGCGGCUGUUUGAGGAAGCUCGCGGCCUCCUAGAGCUGCUGCACGAGAAGCAGGAUGAGAACGACCUGCGCCGCCGUGAGUUCGGAGGGCACGACGUGGACUUGGACUCCGAGAUGUCCGAGGAGUAUGUUGAGGACAUGGCUAAAACCACGGAGUAGUUCCCGAAGGUUUUGACGACUAUUCGUUUGAGCUCUGGGGAAAGGACAAGGCUGCCAGCGCCACCCCCAAACCCGAGUAGUCGAUUCUGGAGUGAGGCACGAAAUAUCAGCAUGAGCGUUGGACUUUAGACCAAAUCUCUCGCUCCCUUUCUCAAUUUCUCUUUCUCAAUACAUCAGCAUCUCUCCUCUUUUUCAAUCUCUCCUCUUUCUCAAUCUCUCCUCUUUCUCAACCUCUCCUCUUUCUCAAUCUCUGCCU
Long non-coding RNA from Branchiostoma floridae (Florida lancelet), 1251 nucleotides. RefSeq lists it as uncharacterized. Lineage: Eukaryota; Metazoa; Chordata; Leptocardii; Amphioxiformes; Branchiostomatidae. The record is from RefSeq and is a predicted model, not a curated record. The transcript is spliced from 3 exons.